This 253-nucleotide ribosomal RNA is filed under the name uncultured bacterium. RNAcentral describes it as "partial 16S ribosomal RNA". It matches the Rfam family "Bacterial small subunit ribosomal RNA", at positions 524 to 776 of the family's 1533-position model. The record is from RNAcentral.
UACGUAGGGUGCAAGCGUUGUCCGGAAUUAUUGGGCGUAAAGAGCUCGUAGGCGGUCUGUCGCGUCUGCUGUGAAAACUCAGGGCUUAACCCUGAGCUUGCAGUGGGUACGGGCAGACUAGAGUGCGGUAGGGGAGACUGGGAUUCCUGGUGUAGCGGUGAAAUGCGCAGAUAUCAGGAGGAACACCGGUGGCGAAGGCGGGUCUCUGGGCCGUAACUGACGCUGAGGAGCGAAAGCAUGGGGAGCGAACAGG